UACGGAGGGUCCGAGCGUUAAUCGGAAUUACUGGGCGUAAAGCGUGCGCAGGCGGUUUGUUAAGCGAGAUGUGAAAGCCCUGGGCUCAACCUAGGAAUAGCAUUUCGAACUGGCGAACUAGAGUCUUGUAGAGGGGGUAGAAUUCAGGUGUAGCGGUGGAAAUAGCGUAGAGAUCUGGAGGAAUACCGGUGGCGAAGGCGGCCUCCUGGACAAAGACUGACGCUCAGGCACGAAAGCGUGGGGAGCAAACAGGAUUAGAUACCCCCGUACGU
RNAcentral lists this ribosomal RNA (272 nucleotides) under uncultured bacterium. RNAcentral's name for it is "partial 16S ribosomal RNA". It matches the Rfam family "Bacterial small subunit ribosomal RNA", at positions 524 to 794 of the family's 1533-position model. The record is from RNAcentral.